GAUGAACGCUGGCGGCGUGCCUAAUACAUGCAAGUCGAGCGAACAGAUGAGGAGCUUGCUCCUCUGACGUUAGCGGCGGACGGGUGAGUAACACGUGGAUAACCUACCUAUAAGACUGGGAUAACUUCGGGAAACCGGAGCUAAUACCGGAUAAUAUAUUGAACCGCAUGGUUCAAUAGUGAAAGACGGUUUUGCUGUCACUUAUAGAUGGAUCCGCGCCGCAUUAGCUAGUUGGUAAGGUAACGGCUUACCAAGGCAACGAUGCGUAGCCGACCUGAGCGGGUGGUCGGCCACACUGGAACUGAGACACGGUCCAGACUCCUACGGGAGGCAGCAGUAGGGAAUCUUCCGCAAUGGGGGAAAGCUUGACGGAGCAAAGCCGCGUGAGUGAUGAAGGUCUUCGGAUCGUAAAACUCUGUUAUUAGGGAAGAACAAAUGUGUAAGUAACUAUGCACGUCUUGACGGUACCUAAUCAGAAAGCCACGGCUAACUACGUG
Molecule: ribosomal RNA, 497 nt
Filed under: uncultured bacterium
Lineage: Bacteria
Description: partial 16S ribosomal RNA
Rfam family: Bacterial small subunit ribosomal RNA
Source: RNAcentral